GACGAACGCUGGCGGCGUGCUUAACACAUGCAAGUCGAACGGAAAGGCCCUGCUUUUGUGGGGUGCUCGAGUGGCGAACGGGUGAGUAACACGUGAGUAACCUGCCCUUGACUUUGGGAUAACUUCAGGAAACUGGGGCUAAUACCGGAUAGGAGCUCCUGCUGCAUGGUGGGGGUUGGAAAGUUUCGGCGGUGGGGGAUGGACUCGCGGCUUAUCAGCUUGUUUGUGGGGUAGUGGCUUACCAAGGCUUUGACGGGUAGCCGGCCUGAGAGGGUGACCGGCCACAUUGGGACUGAGAUACGGCCCAGACUCCUACGGGAGGCAGCAGUGGGGAGUAUUGCGCAAUGGGCGGAAGCCUGAUGCAGCAACGCCGCGUGCGGGAUAACGGCCUUCGAGUUGUAAACCGCUUUCGCAUGUGACGAAGCGUGAGUGACGGUAAUGGGUAAAGAAGCACCGGCUAACUACGUG
RNAcentral lists this ribosomal RNA (468 nucleotides) under uncultured bacterium. RNAcentral describes it as "partial 16S ribosomal RNA". It matches the Rfam family "Bacterial small subunit ribosomal RNA", at positions 28 to 507 of the family's 1533-position model. The record is from RNAcentral.